GGGUAACUUCAAGCGCUGCUGGUCCUUGCGACACCAAGCUAUUACAUUUCCAUCACUAUUUGCUGUGAACAAGUGAUGACCAUCACAGGAAAAGGUAAGGCUUACAAUAGGUUUGGCUGACUUCGAAAAUGUUAUUUCUCGUACUGGCUUCAAGUCCCAUGUACUCCACAGUCUUACAACUCCAUUUUCGAGCCCUCCUGCAAUCACGUUGACAGAUACUCCUUCAGGCUGGUUAGAGAAAGCAACAGAGCAAAUACUCUCU
This 262-nucleotide long non-coding RNA is filed under the name Gallus gallus (chicken). The record is from RNAcentral. Lineage: Eukaryota; Metazoa; Chordata; Aves; Galliformes; Phasianidae.